Long non-coding RNA from Megalobrama amblycephala (Wuchang bream), 294 nucleotides. RefSeq lists it as uncharacterized. Lineage: Eukaryota; Metazoa; Chordata; Actinopteri; Cypriniformes; Xenocyprididae. The record is from RefSeq and is a predicted model, not a curated record. The transcript is spliced from 2 exons.
GAAGAGGAUAAAUAGCGCAGACUGACUCGAGUUCACACAUCUUUCACUGGUUUGCCAACUGAUAUAACACGCCUAACGAAGACGGACAUUGUGAUCUGAUCAUCUCUGAUUAUCUCGGAUUGACGCUCCUGUAGCAGGCGGGAUUGAGGACGCCCUCCUCCGAACACGGCGAGGACAGGAACAGAGAUGAAGUCUUUCACAGCAAGUACAUCAUCAUCAUCAUCUCAGGACCAUCAGGCCGUUGGGUCCAUAUCCUUUACAUCCUGAUAAAAACAAGAAAAGAAUGAAAAAGCA